GGUAGGGUGGCUGAGUGUUAAUAGGCGGUGGGCUGUAGUCCCAUUUAGGCGGGUUAAAUUCCUGUCCCUAUCA
Molecule: transfer RNA, 73 nt
Filed under: Lepidophyma flavimaculatum (yellow-spotted night lizard)
Lineage: Eukaryota; Metazoa; Chordata; Lepidosauria; Squamata; Xantusiidae
Description: tRNA-Tyr
Rfam family: tRNA
About the family: Transfer RNA (tRNA) molecules are approximately 80 nucleotides in length.
Source: RNAcentral